This 1506-nucleotide ribosomal RNA is filed under the name metagenome. RNAcentral describes it as "bacterial SSU rRNA". It matches the Rfam family "Bacterial small subunit ribosomal RNA". The record is from RNAcentral.
AGAGUUUGAUCAUGGCUCAGGACGAACGCUGGCGGCGUGCCUAAUACAUGCAAGUAGAACGCUGAAGAGAGGAGCUUGCUCUUCUUGGAUGAGUUGCGAACGGGUGAGUAACGCGUAGGUAACCUGCCUUGUAGCGGGGGAUAACUAUUGGAAACGAUAGCUAAUACCGCAUAACAAUGGAUGACACAUGUCAUUUAUUUGAAAGGGGCAAUUGCUCCACUACAAGAUGGACCUGCGUUGUAUUAGCUAGUAGGUGAGGUAACGGCUCACCUAGGCGACGAUACAUAGCCGACCUGAGAGGGUGAUCGGCCACACUGGGACUGAGACACGGCCCAGACUCCUACGGGAGGCAGCAGUAGGGAAUCUUCGGCAAUGGGGGCAACCCUGACCGAGCAACGCCGCGUGAGUGAAGAAGGUUUUCGGAUCGUAAAGCUCUGUUGUAAGUCAAGAACGAGUGUGAGAGUGGAAAGUUCACACUGUGACGGUAGCUUACCAGAAAGGGACGGCUAACUACGUGCCAGCAGCCGCGGUAAUACGUAGGUCCCGAGCGUUGUCCGGAUUUAUUGGGCGUAAAGCGAGCGCAGGCGGUUUGAUAAGUCUGAAGUUAAAGGCUGUGGCUCAACCAUAGUUCGCUUUGGAAACUGUCAAACUUGAGUGCAGAAGGGGAGAGUGGAAUUCCAUGUGUAGCGGUGAAAUGCGUAGAUAUAUGGAGGAACACCGGUGGCGAAAGCGGCUCUCUGGUCUGUAACUGACGCUGAGGCUCGAAAGCGUGGGGAGCGAACAGGAUUAGAUACCCUGGUAGUCCACGCCGUAAACGAUGAGUGCUAGGUGUUGGAUCCUUUCCGGGAUUCAGUGCCGCAGCUAACGCAUUAAGCACUCCGCCUGGGGAGUACGACCGCAAGGUUGAAACUCAAAGGAAUUGACGGGGGCCCGCACAAGCGGUGGAGCAUGUGGUUUAAUUCGAAGCAACGCGAAGAACCUUACCAGGUCUUGACAUCCCGAUGCUAUUUCUAGAGAUAGAAAGUUACUUCGGUACAUCGGUGACAGGUGGUGCAUGGUUGUCGUCAGCUCGUGUCGUGAGAUGUUGGGUUAAGUCCCGCAACGAGCGCAACCCCUAUUGUUAGUUGCCAUCAUUCAGUUGGGCACUCUAGCGAGACUGCCGGUAAUAAACCGGAGGAAGGUGGGGAUGACGUCAAAUCAUCAUGCCCCUUAUGACCUGGGCUACACACGUGCUACAAUGGUUGGUACAACGAGUUGCGAGUCGGUGACGGCAAGCUAAUCUCUUAAAGCCAAUCUCAGUUCGGAUUGUAGGCUGCAACUCGCCUACAUGAAGUCGGAAUCGCUAGUAAUCGCGGAUCAGCACGCCGCGGUGAAUACGUUCCCGGGCCUUGUACACACCGCCCGUCACACCACGAGAGUUUGUAACACCCGAAGUCGGUGAGGUAACCUUUUGGAGCCAGCCGCCUAAGGUGGGAUAGAUGAUUGGGGUGAAGUCGUAACAAGGUA